RNAcentral lists this ribosomal RNA (497 nucleotides) under uncultured bacterium. RNAcentral describes it as "partial 16S ribosomal RNA". It matches the Rfam family "Bacterial small subunit ribosomal RNA", at positions 28 to 507 of the family's 1533-position model. The record is from RNAcentral.
GAUGAACGCUGGCGGCGUGCUUAAUACAUGCAAGUCGAGCGAACGGACGCGAAGUUUGCUUCUCUGAUGUUAGCGGCGGACGGGUGUGUCACACGUGGAUACCCUACCUAUCAGUCUGGGAUAACUUCGGGAAACCGGAGCUUAUACCGGAUAAUCUUCUGAACCGCAUGGUUCAUAAGUGAAAGACGGUCUUGCUGUCACUUAUAGAUGGAUCUGCGCUGCAUUAGCUAGUUGGUAAGUUAAAGGCUUACCAAGGCAACGAUGCAUAGCCGACGUGAGAGAGUGAUCGGCCACACUGGAACGGAGACGCGGACCAGACUACUACGAGACGCAGCAGUAGGGAAUCUUCCGCAAUAGGCGAAAACCUGACAGAGCAACGCCACGUGAGUGGUGAAAGUCUUCGGAUCGUAAAACUCUGUUAUUAGUGAAGAACAUAUUUGUAAGUAACUGUACACAUCUUGACGGUACCUAGUCAAAAAGCCACGGCUAACUACGCG